GCCUAGCCCUGAUAGCAGUGAAAAUCCUUUAUAUUCCUGAAUUUGUUUCAGGAUUAUAAAGAUUGCAACGGAUAGCAGGAAUAGCU
This 86-nucleotide small RNA is filed under the name Flavobacterium granuli. Its description in RNAcentral is "Flavo-1 RNA". It matches the Rfam family "Flavo-1 RNA". Lineage: Bacteria; Pseudomonadati; Bacteroidota; Flavobacteriia; Flavobacteriales; Flavobacteriaceae. The record is from RNAcentral.